AUCGCUUCUCGGCCUUUUGGCUAAUUUCAAGCGUAGGAUCUGUUCAAUAUCUGAUAUGUCCUCCAUGUGAGGACUACAUAUUAAACAGAUUUUUAGCACUGGGAGCUGAAAAAGGGGCUUGCUCCUUUCACUCCACGCAUCGACCUGGCAUUGCAGUGCUGCCGGGAAUGGUGCACCCUUU
This 181-nucleotide small nuclear RNA is filed under the name Amphiprion percula (orange clownfish). RNAcentral's name for it is "U2 spliceosomal RNA (ENSAPEG00000019510.1)". It matches the Rfam family "U2 spliceosomal RNA". Rfam says of the family: U2 is a small nuclear RNA (snRNA) component of the spliceosome (involved in pre-mRNA splicing). Complementary binding between U2 snRNA (in an area lying towards the 5' end but 3' to hairpin I) and the branchpoint sequence (BPS) of the intron results the bulging out of an unpaired adenosine, on the BPS, which initiates a nucleophilic attack at the intronic 5' splice site, thus starting the first of two transesterification reactions that mediate splicing. Lineage: Eukaryota; Metazoa; Chordata; Actinopteri; Pomacentridae. The record is from Rfam by way of RNAcentral.